GCAGAAGUACGGAGAUGAUUAGCUUUCAGUAAUCCAGAUGAGAGAUAAUGGAGGUUUUUGGAGGUACUAGACAUUGUGCUUGAAUUCUUAAAUUUUGAAAGCAGAGUUAAAAUUUGUGACUAAUUGUACAUAAAGUUUUAAGGGAAAGAAGAUGCAAGAAAAAUUUACACGUUCUUAGUUAAGGCACUUGGAAGAAUGGAAUUGCUGUCAACCAAGAUGGGUAUAAUUGCAGAGGGAACAAACAAGGUUGGGAAAAGGAGAGAUUGAUUACCUUUAGAUGUGGUAAAUUUGAGAAGUAGCAAGGUCAAGAAAGCAAUUGCUUAGGUGGAUGUAUUUAGUGUGAAGGCCAGGAAAAAGAUCUGAACUUGAGAUACAUUAAGUAAUCAUUAGAACAUGAUGGCGGCAUCAGCUUGGAUGAUGUCAUUAAGGGAAUGAGUAUAGAAGAUUUCAGAGGAUUAACCUCUGGGGACUCCAGUAAAAGAAGUUCGGAGAGG
RNAcentral lists this long non-coding RNA (494 nucleotides) under Marmota monax (woodchuck). Lineage: Eukaryota; Metazoa; Chordata; Mammalia; Rodentia; Sciuridae. The record is from RNAcentral.